GACGGUAUCUGAUGAAUAAGCCCCGGCUAACUCCGUGCCAGCACCCGCGGUAAUACGGAGGGUGCAAGCGUUGUCCGGAAUGAUUGGGCGUAAAGCGUCUGUAGGUGGUUUUUGAAGUCUACUGUCAAAUACCAGGGCUUAACCUUGAAAAGGCAGUGGAGUACUCAAAGGCUAGAGUUCGGUAGAGGCAGAGGGAAUUCCCAGUGGAGCGGUGAAAUGCAUAGAGAUUGGGAAGAACACCAGUGGCGAAGGCGCUCUGCUGGGCCAAGACUGACACUGAGAAACGACAGCUAAGGUAGCGAAUAGGAUUAGAUACCCUAGUAGUCUUAGCCGUAAACGAUGGAUACUAAGUGCUGCCAACAACAGUGCUGUAGCUAACGCGUUAAGUAUCCCGCCUGGGGAGUAUGCUCGCAAGAGUGAAACUC
This 425-nucleotide ribosomal RNA is filed under the name uncultured bacterium. RNAcentral describes it as "bacterial SSU rRNA". It matches the Rfam family "Bacterial small subunit ribosomal RNA", at positions 471 to 902 of the family's 1533-position model. The record is from RNAcentral.